CCUACGGGUGGCAGCAGUGAGGAAUAUUGGUCAAUGGACGAGAGUCUGAACCAGCCAAGUAGCGUGAAGGAUGACUGCCCUAUGGUUUGUAAACUUCUUUUAUAUGGGAAUACAAUGUUCCAAGUGUGGGAUUUUGUAUGUACCAUAUGAAUAAGGAUCGGCUAACUCCGUUCCAGCAGCCGCGGUAAUACGGAGGUUGCGAGCGUUAAUCGGAAUUACUGGGCGUAACGCGCUCGUAGGCGGUCUGUUAAGUCUAGGGUGAAAUCCCCGGGCUCAACUUGGGAAGUGCCUUUGAAACUGGCAAACUGGAGUGUGUGAGAGGAUAGUGGAAUUCCAGGUGUAGGAGUGAAAUCCGUAGAUAUCGGGAGGAACACCAGUGGCGAAGGCGACUAUCUGGUACAUAACUGACGCUGAGGAGCGAAAGCGUGGGUAGCAAACAGGAUUAGAUACCCGAGUAGUC
RNAcentral lists this ribosomal RNA (460 nucleotides) under uncultured bacterium. RNAcentral's name for it is "partial 16S ribosomal RNA". It matches the Rfam family "Bacterial small subunit ribosomal RNA", at positions 338 to 795 of the family's 1533-position model. The record is from RNAcentral.